RNAcentral lists this long non-coding RNA (1833 nucleotides) under Neodiprion lecontei (redheaded pine sawfly). RNAcentral's name for it is "uncharacterized LOC124294252". The record is from RNAcentral. Lineage: Eukaryota; Metazoa; Arthropoda; Insecta; Hymenoptera; Diprionidae.
UUGCGGGGUACGAGGUGCAGAUCUCAACUGGCGUCAAACUGGCUUUUCAUGAUUUUUUAUAAAAACAUCAUAUAGCGCGUACCCGUAGGCUAUUUUUGAUUGGAACAAUGAUCCCAAUACUUGCUUAAAAAUACUGACUUUACGGCCAUGCUACAUGAAGUACUAUUCAAGUUUCGUCAAACAAUAAUAAAUUCAUGUUUGAGACACUAUUUCACGAAUUGUAUUGUAAAACCAAUAAUAUCCUUGAUUCCAGGGGGAGAUUCUGAAGUUUCUAUACUGACGGUUGUCAACGUAGACCAAUGUGUGCUGAAAAAUGCGGAGGCCCAUAGAACGUCAAGGUUUGAAUUAUCAAGACGUAAGAAUGAUACUGCCAGAUUGAUCAUUCGCAGAGGAGAACCGUUCUACAUCAAACUUAUUCUGUCACGCGCAUACAAUCCGAAUACCGAUGCAAUUUCAUUGGUAUUCACUCUGGAUGGCGUUGAAAAACCACAAUACGGACAUGGAACCCUAGUCGCAGCACCAGUUCUGAAAACUGAAAGUGACAGUGAAGGCCCAUGGCAUGCAGUUGAAGAUUAUUUUGACGGUAACACGUUGAAAUUGAAAGAUUGCCGUAACCACACAAGAUGCGGUUACUAAAAUCGACAAACUCGCCCUUGCGAAUGAGGCAUUCAAUGCUCGCUGUCUUUCUCUCGAAAAACGUGACGGCGCUGCGGAUGAUCGUGCUCAGAAGCUUGUUGACGAGUGCAGUGCCUUACGAGCUGAAACGUCGAAUUAUCGGAACACAUCUAAGUCAUGUCUUCCUGAUAUUGCUGACACUUCAGCACUCGGUGAGGUGUCUCGUAUCGCUGCGGCACUUCGGAUCUCUGACACAGCUUAUGACGUAACUGCAGCCUUUCACAUUCCUGAUCCUGAGGGUAAACCUCAGCCACUCAUUGUUAUGUUUGCUUCCUCUAUAAAGUGUAAGAUGUGGAUCGACAAGAAACGCAUUUUAAAGGACUUGUUAGCAAAAAACAUCGACUCCAACUUGCCUAACAGUCGUGUAUAUAUCACUGUACCACUUACGUCAUCUGAACUGUAACUCUACAAUGCUAGCCGUCUGUUUGCCCGUCAACAUGGAUACAAACACAUCUGGGUCAGGAAUGGAGCAGUUCACUUAAGAAAAGAUAAUGACGAUUCGACCCAUUGCGUUCGCAAACUUAGCGACCUUCCUUGACCUCGUAGCUGACUAUCUGGUACUACUACUGAAACCCCUCUAGACUCAGUUGCCCUAUCCAGUGGGGUCGUUCUGUCUGAGCGUGAUUUCGAACCACUUAUCGUGGGAUUUGAGAAUAAACAUGGAUCUAUAACUUGCCCCCAUUAUCCUAAGUCAAGCAAUACUCUACCCUGUAUUGCAUUGCCUAAAUCUGAUAAAUCACUUAUAUGUCACAGCAACGCACAAUCACUGGUAACUCAAAUCGAUGAAUUUCGAGACUCUAACUUUACCACCACAUCUUUCAUUUGAUUUUCGUAUCUGAAACAUUCCUACAGAAGAAGAUUUCGGACGAAUCUGUAUCAUUACUUAAUAACGUAUUAUUCUGCCGGGAUAGGCUUGGCAUUGGCUGUGGUGGAGUUGCAGGUUACCUACAUUAUAUUAUCAAUGCUAAUAUUCUUGCCUCGUCCCCAGAGCAAUAUUAUCACGAGCCGGAAUACCUCAUCUUUGCGAUACCGAGUAAAGAAGUUCCUAAUCUGCCACUUGCGGUUGUAUAUCGACCUCCCAAGAUAAGGUAUGUGUAAUGUAUUGAAGGAAGAAUGAACAGAGAAGUGUUUACCUGAGAGAGGCUUUAUUAAGAGUGA